RNAcentral lists this ribosomal RNA (1369 nucleotides) under uncultured bacterium. RNAcentral's name for it is "bacterial SSU rRNA". It matches the Rfam family "Bacterial small subunit ribosomal RNA", at positions 28 to 1381 of the family's 1533-position model. The record is from RNAcentral.
GAUGAACGCUGGCGGCGUGCCUAAUACAUGCAAGUCGAGCGAACGGACGAGAAGCUUGCUUCUCUGAUGUUAGCGGCGGACGGGUGAGUAACACGUGGAUAACCUACCUAUAAGACUGGGAUAACUUCGGGAAACCGGAGCUAAUACCGGAUAAUAUUUUGAACCGCAUGGUUCAAAAGUGAAAGACGGUCUUGCUGUCACUUAUAGAUGGAUCCGCGCUGCAUUAGCUAGUUGGUAAGGUAACGGCUUACCAAGGCAACGAUGCAUAGCCGACCUGAGAGGGUGAUCGGCCACACUGGAACUGAGACACGGUCCAGACUCCUACGGGAGGCAGCAGUAGGGAAUCUUCCGCAAUGGGCGAAAGCCUGACGGAGNCACGCCGCGUGAGUGAUGAANGUCUUCGGAUCGUAAAACUCUGUUAUUAGGGAAGAACAUAUGUGNUAGUAACUGUGCACAUCUUGACGGUACCUAAUCAGAAAAGCACGGCUAACUACGUGCCAGCAGCCGCGGUAAUACNUANGUGGGGCAGCGUAUCCGGAUUUAUGGNCCGUAAGCGCGCGUAGCGGUUUUUUAGUCUGAUGUGAAAGCCCACGGCUCAACCGUGGAGGGUCAUUGGAAACUGGAAAACUUGAGUGCAGAAGAGGAAAGUGGAAUUCCAUGUGUAGCGGUGAAAUGCGCAGAGAUAUGGAGGAACACCAGUGGCGAAGGCGACUUUCUGGUCUGUAACUGACGCUGAUGUGCGAAAGCGUGGGGAUCAAACAGGAUUAGAUACCCUGGUAGUCCACGCCGUAAACGAUGAGUGCUAAGUGUUAGGGGGUUUCCGCCCCUUAGUGCUGCAGCUAACGCAUUAAGCACUCCGCCUGGGGAGUGCGACCGCAAGGUUGAAACUCAAAGGAAUUGACGGGGACCCGCACAAGCGGUGGAGCAUGUGGUUUAAUUCGAAGCAACGCGAAGAACCUUACCAAAUCUUGACAUCCUUUGACAACUCUAGAGAUAGAGCCUUCCCCUUCGGGGGACAAAGUGACAGGUGGUGCAUGGUUGUCGUCAGCUCGUGUCGUGAGAUGUUGGGUUAAGUCCCGCAACGAGCGCAACCCUUAAGCUUAGUUGCCAUCAUUAAGUUGGGCACUCUAAGUUGACUGCCGGUGACAAACCGGAGGAAGGUGGGGAUGACGUCAAAUCAUCAUGCCCCUUAUGAUUUGGGCUACACACGUGCUACAAUGGACAAUACAAAGGGCAGCGAAACCGUGAGGUCAAGCAAAUCCCAUAAAGUUGUUCUCAGUUCGGAUUGUAGUCUGCAACUCGACUACAUGAAGCUGGAAUCGCUAGUAAUCGUAGAUCAGCAUGCUACGGUGAAUACGUUCCCGGGUCU